UUUUUUUUUUUUUUUUUUUUUUUUUUUUUUUUUCCA
This 36-nucleotide non-coding RNA is filed under the name Alexandrium minutum. Lineage: Eukaryota; Dinophyceae; Gonyaulacales; Pyrocystaceae. The record is from RNAcentral.